RNAcentral lists this non-coding RNA (139 nucleotides) under Nocardioides sp. Lineage: Bacteria; Bacillati; Actinomycetota; Actinomycetes; Propionibacteriales; Nocardioidaceae. The record is from RNAcentral.
UCGGGCCGCACCCGUCCGGGUCGGCACCACACACGCCCGAGGUGGGGAAAGCCGGUCCGAAUCCGGCGCUGACCCGCAACCGUAGGCACGGGAGAGAUCCCGUGCGAGCCGGAACACCCGCCUCGACGCGUCAUGACCA